RNAcentral lists this ribosomal RNA (441 nucleotides) under uncultured bacterium. RNAcentral describes it as "partial 16S ribosomal RNA". It matches the Rfam family "Bacterial small subunit ribosomal RNA", at positions 338 to 795 of the family's 1533-position model. The record is from RNAcentral.
CCUACGGGGGGCAGCAGUGGGGAAUAUUGCACAAUGGGUGGAACCCUGAUGCAGCGACGCAGCGUGGGUGAAGGAGUAUUUCGGUAUGUAAAGCCCUAUCAGCAGGGAAGAACAAUGACGGUACCUGACUAAGAAGCACCGGCUCCAUACGUGACAGCAGCCGCGGUAAUACGGAUGGUGCGAGCGUUAUCCGGAUGUACUGGGUGUAAAGGGGGCGCAGGCGGCUGCGCAAGCCAGGUGUGACAGCCCGGGGCCCAACCCCGGGACUGCUCUUGAAACUGGGGGGCUGGAGUGCAGGAGGGGCAGGCGGAAUUCCUGGUGUAGCGGUGAAAUGCGUAGAUAUCAGGAGGAACACCGGUGGCGAAGGCGGGCGGCUGGAGUGCGACUGACGUUGAGGCCCGAAAGCGUGGGGAGCAAACAGGAUUAGAUACCCCUGUAGUC